Long non-coding RNA from Strongylocentrotus purpuratus (purple sea urchin), 906 nucleotides. RefSeq lists it as uncharacterized. The record is from RefSeq and is a predicted model, not a curated record. Lineage: Eukaryota; Metazoa; Echinodermata; Echinoidea; Camarodonta; Strongylocentrotidae. The transcript has 3 exons.
GGCCGUACCCUAAUAUGACCUUUGACGCUGUUCAAACGGAGGUUGACAAUGGUUACCAGAUGCCACGCCCUCGUCAUUGUGCACAAGAAGUGUAUACGGUCAUGUCUGGUUGUUGGGAGAAGGAACCUACGAAUCGGAGUAACUUUGAUCAGACCCUCACGAGUUUGGAGAGGAUUCUAGAAAAAGAAUCACAUUUACCUGUCUCUCAAUGACUUAGAUGAAGGAUUGUUUGUGUCUACACUGGACAUGUGAGAUUAAGCCUAGGUCGGAUAUACAGCGGUACUACAAUGCAUCUUCACCUUUUUCGCUGUAUGAUGACUGGAACCGAGCCAACUAAUUGGACUAUAGGGACGUUGUAGGGACAUUAAAAGGACUAACUUGUGUUAGAUUUAGCCAAGAGUGCAGAAUUAGGCUAUCGCAAAUACUUUAAAAAAAUAUUUUGCGUUGAGUUUACGUCAUUUUGAAAGAUUUUCCUUUUUUUUCAAUAUCAAUAAGUAGAAUUUGUAAAAUAGUUAAAGAAGUUUAAUUGACAAUGUCUGGAUGUGCAGCUAUUUUAGAAAACAUGAAAUUUGUGAAUAUCAAGAGGCCCUAGUAUAACAACUGAUCUCAUACAUUCAACAGCAAUUUUUUUGUUUUUACUGUGUGAAAUUUAUUUCUAAUUACCUUGCAACGUUUGCCAAUCUUUGUGUUAUUUCAUAGUAUUGUAUAUGUGGAUGACCUCCUACCCCCUUUCUUCUUUCUUUUCAUCACCCCUCUCUCUCUCUUCUCUCUCUCUCUCUCUCUAUAUAUAUAUUUUCCUUUGUUUCCAUUCUCCCCUCCGUCUGUCAAUCCAUAUUUAUCUCUCUCCACUAUUCUCCUCUUCUUUCCAUCUUUUGCACUCUUAGUCCUCUUUCUCACCCUCUCCCC